Molecule: long non-coding RNA, 1950 nt
Organism: Suricata suricatta (meerkat)
Lineage: Eukaryota; Metazoa; Chordata; Mammalia; Carnivora; Herpestidae
Exons: 4
Source: RefSeq, a predicted model, not a curated record
UGGCCGCUCAGCAUAUUGUAUACCUGCCCCGCCUCUGCCUUCCCUGCCACAGCGGGUGGCUCCUGGAGAUGACAGACCACCUUUGCCAAGUCAGGCGGCAUCGCUUUUUAGCAGCUGUUUGAGAAGAAAAUGUUUCCCUUGUGCUGAGGCUGUUGAGAGGUGAAGGAAAGAACCUGCACUUUCCCUACAUUCCACGGCCUCAAAGGGCAGGCCAGAGAGAAUCCUGGCUCUUCUAAUACUGAGGCACAAACUCAAAUGUUCGCAAACAAAGCUGCUGCUCACAGUGUUUGGCAGCUGACGAGGCGCCUCACUGGGAGGCCAGACCCGUGUCAGCGCGUCCACACUGCAGGGUUCAGAGCCCGGGGCACAGGAGCGGGGGAAGGAAAAGCUGAAAAUUCAUGGCUCUCAUGUGGCGUUUUCUUCCUGUACUUAGCGGUAUUAAAAAAGUACCGCACAGGCCUCCGGGGGACACAAGAGCCCGCCUCCGGACGGUGUCAGUGCCACAGGAGCCACGCUCACCUCUGCUCUGUGCGCCGUACAGUACCUGUGUCAUCGGCGUGGUGAUGCCAGACGACACUGCCUCCCCGGCUUGAGCUGGAAGACGGCUCCCCCCCCCAUGUCAAAGGAGGCACCUCCUGCUGGAGGAAACCCCGCCUGCACGCCUCAGUCUUGCUUCCGAAUGGGAAUCCCUGGAAACCCCCUGCAGCCUGCACCUGCUCCACCGUUUCCAUUGGGACCUUCCCGGCCUCCUGCCUGCCUCUCCGACCGCAGGCCCUGCAGGGGCCCUGGCCCCAUGUCACAGAGAGCAGCCCAGGGGGCAGAUCUGCCCUCCCGGUGACCAGCUUCCUGCGCACCGGCUGUCCGCUGUCAACCCUGGUCCCGCUCUGAGCACUGGUGCUGCCGACACUUACCUGGCAGCUCCCCACCCCGCCUUCCUACCCCCUGCACUUCACAGUCCAGUUCCUCUCAGGUGGAUGUCCCCACGGUGUUCCUGUCCUGUGGCCUCUUCCUCCCUCAGCUUCUGAAAUGUGGUCUCUGCCCCACCCCACCUGCCCCUCACCCCUGGGAUCACUCUGACCACAGUCCCCAAGGACCGCCUUGUUCCUAAACCAGGUCUUUAGGCUCGAGCCCGUGGUUCCCUGGCUGGGAACUUGGCCGUCUCCCAUCCAACACCGGGCCCGCGGGCCCACCUGCUGGCGUUUGUCUGUGGGCUCCAGCCCUUCUGCUGGGGGUGAGAGCCAGCGUCGUCUCUGGCCCGGAUCAUUGCAACAGCCUCGGCUCAGUCCUUUCCUGACACCCAGGUGCUUAUGAAUCACCGGAGCAUGUACCGUGCAGGCUCGGAUUGGGUACUUCCGGGGAGGCUGUCCUUGCGGUCACCCCACGGUGACACCAGUGCUGUCCAUCUGGGACGCGUGUUGAGGAGCCAUUGCCAGCCAGGGAGAGACUUCUCACAGCACAUGGGGCCACCUCUGCGUACAGGUCCCCCCCACCUCCCCACACGCCUCGAGACGCAGCCCUCAUGUCACACCCCCCCAAGCUGCUGCCGUGUGCCUGGGGGGGGCUGCUCCCUCCUGCACACGCUUCCCUCCGUCUGGCACUUCGCUCCCCCCAUCCGUGUGGCUGACCCCUGUGUGUCCUUUUAGGCGCUGGCUGGGCGGUCCUCCUCUCGGAAGCGUUUGCUGGGCCCCCACAUGGCCAGGCACCCCUCAUUUCUGUCCAGGGGCAGCCGGCACGUGGCCCCGCCUCGCCGUGAGUGGGUCCUGAGCUUCAGGUGCCCACCUGCUGUGGGGUGGCUGCGAGGCGACAGGAGGAGAAAGGACCCUCUCUGGGAGGUCUCUUCCUGGCCUUCAUCCUUCCCCGGGGACAAGGGUGCAGCUCUGGGGUGACUCACCUUUCCCCGGGAGACGUGCCCUGGGCAAUUUUAGCGGAAAAUAAAAUCCGAUCCCAGAU